AGGGUGGCCCCUGGCCUCUCUUGAAAAAGUAAAAAAUCUAGCAACUCUGGACCCACACGUCCGCAUGACAACGGUUGGGGGAGCGGAGCGAGGGCUGCUUCUUUUAGAAGGUCUCUCACACCAGUGCGUUUCCAACAGCAAUGCACGGAGGAAACCUGGGAAUUCUGUUAAAAAGUAGAUGCUAAUAUCCAGAAGGGGCAAAUCCAUAGAGGCAGAAAAUAUAGUAGUGGAUGCCCAUGGCUGGAGGGAGGAGGGAAUGGGGGCUGAGAUUGCUAAUGGGUCUGAGGUUUCUUUUUCGGGGUUAUGAAAAUGGAACCAGGUAGGGGUGAUGGUUGCACGAAAUUGUGAAUAUACUAAAAACCACUGAACUGUACACUUUAAAAGGGUGAAUUUUAUGGUAUGUGAAUUAUAUCAAUAAAGUCGUUACUAUAACAAGGCAGACGCCGAUUUGGUAGGGCUGAGGUGGGGCUGAGGAUUCCGCCUUUCUGACGAGCUCCCCGGUGCGCUAAUCCCCAGGCCAGCUCUACGUAGCUCUUUCAUCGCUAGUUUUCAGCCUCUGCUGCUCACUGGAACCACCUGGGGAGUGUAAAAAGCUACUACUCACGCCCCGGCCCCACCCCCAGAGAUUCUGAUGACACUGGUGUGGGGUGACGCCCGGCCAUCAGGAUUUUUAAAGCUCCCCAGGUGAUUUUACUUUGCAGCCAAAUUUUGGAACCACUGUCUUACACCCUGGCCACUUUCCCCUUUCCCGUUGCCUCCCUUGGCGCGCCCUGAGCCAUUUGACUCCUGCUCUUCUCCAGAUCCCAAAGUUUGGCUUCCCAGGCUGUGCCAGGCCGGCUUGGCCCUGCCCACUGCCUUAAUCCCACCCUAGUUCUGGGAUUGUGAAGCCAAACAUUUCCUCCUUCACUCCUCCCCAAGUCCCUUCUUAGUGUAGGUGGUUUUACUUUUUGGGGGCGUUUCGGGUGAGGACCUUUGUCCGAGACUUUUGAAAAAACGAAAGAACUCCGAUCCUCCUCUGCCUAUAGAUGUGAUGGAUUACAUUAAUUGAUGUUUGGAUGUUGAACCGCCUUUGUGUACCUGGGAUGAAUUCUACUUGGUCAAGUUCUGUCAGUUUUUGUCUCACACAUUUUGCUGCUAUGCUGUUGGGUACGUGUGAAUUAAGGUCUGAGUUUCUGCCCUGCAUCAUUUUCUUUGUCACAGAGGAACAUCUUUUAACAUUCUCGCAAGGAGAACACAGACCGUGCUCCAACAAGUGUCUGACAACAAUUUGAAGCUUGAUGUUGAGCCCUUCAAAACCACACAGUCUUAGGUAAUGUGACCCAGUUCCUUGGUUUUGCAAAGAAGGGACUGUGCAACUGGGAGAAGAGAAUGCAGUUAUUUACCAGUUUCUUCCUAAGGGCAAAAAACAGAAUGUUCAGCAUUCAUGGGAGGGGCAGGAGUUGUGUUCUGCCUGAGGAAUUCUUGCUCACUGGAUGGUCUGGGUCAGGUGACAAACUUCCAUAGCUUGGCCUGGCACCAGAAUGGGCCCUGCCUAGAGGCAGGAAAAAUGUUUUCUUUAAGUCCUACUUUCCCCAGCAGUUUGCAACAAUGCCCUGGUGUCCCAUUUCCACAGACUUGAUGGGGGCUGGGGGGUGGAGACUACAGGUAAUUAAGCUGUAGGACCUUCAAAGGAAACUCUUGUAGAAGAAUUCAGUUGGGACGCUGGCCCCCAGGACCAAGGUUCUAAAGAGCCCCUUGCCUUUUGCUAAAGGCAGAACAAACCCAUUCCUUGACCCUCUCCAAGGUAGAAGCUGCUGAGAUGAUAUGGAUGCUUCUGGAGUGAGAAGGAGAAGGGACUUACAGGGAGCAAUCUGUCCUUUGGUGGCACUUAAUUAUCUGUAUCAUUCUUCAUAGGUUAGCAACUGCUCUUCAGCAAGUAGGAAGACUGUUGAAACAGAUUCUGUAUUUCUAGGUUUGGGGAACUGGGUGUCAUCGGGCAAUUUUUACCCCCAAAAAUCUUUUAGCUGUGCAAAAAUCUACAUUAACCACAGAAAUUGAUCCCCUCAAAUUAACAUCUUCUCUACGCAGCCCGUCUGUCCCAAGUGUGAGGUUGGAGGGUGGAAGACAGUGGUGACUGGGGGCAUGAGCCUGGAUGAGAUGACUCACAAGGCCUCUUGCAGCCUGAAGAUUUGAGGAUUCUGUGCUGAUGUACCUGUGACAGCCAUCAGAAACCAACAGCAUCUUCUCUAGAAUUUGAGUUUGGAUAUUGGAGCCCCAGAUUUUGACAUGGGGCUGCCUAUUUUAGGGAUCACUAUCCCUUUUGCCUCCAUAAAGACAUUUAAGAUGGUAGUUUGGGCUGCCAGUUUCUAGAAUCUCUCUGAUGAGAGGUAUCUUGGAUCACCUCCCGAGGCUCCCUUGGCUAGGCAAUGUUAGGAAAAUAGUUCUGCAGCAGCAGAGACACCCCCUCCCCAAAGGGUCUGCUCUGCUCGCUCUGUUCCCAGGGCAUAUGGGCACACCUGCCAGCCAGCUCUGGCCCCCUGGAGUAGGCACGUCCCCUGAUGUGGGAGUCAAUGGUCACAGACCCUUUGAUGGUGCACUUUUCUAUACUUGUAUAUUCUCUUCCUUUUUUUCUUCUCCCUCCUUCUCCCCUCUCAAUGUAUCUAAACACCUGAAGAAGAAACUGCUGGUUGCUUACUCCAACAUCUGUUCUUCUCUUCCUCAACAACAAAGACUUGAAUUUGUUUUUUUUUUAAUAUAUUCUUUUUUUUUUUGAGGAAGAUUAGCCCUGAGCUGACA
Molecule: non-coding RNA, 2775 nt
Organism: Equus caballus (horse)
Lineage: Eukaryota; Metazoa; Chordata; Mammalia; Perissodactyla; Equidae
Source: RefSeq, a predicted model, not a curated record